UACAGAGGUGGCAAGCGUUGUUCGGAAUUACUGGGCGUAAAGAGCGUGUAGGCGGCCCGAUUAGUCUGCUGUGAAAGUCCAGGGCUCAACCCUGGAAUGCCGGUGGAUACUGUCGGGCUAGAGUCCGGAAGGGGCGAGUGGAAUUCCUGGUGUAGCGGUGAAAUGCGCAGAUAUCAGGAGGAACACCAAUGGCGAAGGCAGCUCGCUGGGACGUGACUGACGCUGAGACGCGAAAGCGUGGGGAGCAAACAGG
RNAcentral lists this ribosomal RNA (253 nucleotides) under uncultured bacterium. RNAcentral's name for it is "partial 16S ribosomal RNA". It matches the Rfam family "Bacterial small subunit ribosomal RNA", at positions 524 to 776 of the family's 1533-position model. The record is from RNAcentral.